UCCCGGAGCCGGGCGGGCGCCGCCUUCCCGCGGGCGGCCGGCAGGGGUCAGUGUUUGGCCGCAGGUGAACAGGCAGCCCGGACGCCGCUCGGGUUCCUCUGCCUGCGUCUUUCUCCUACUACCGAGCGUCUGCACUCAUUCCCUGGCCAUUCAUAAGAUUCUUGCCUACAAAGACUCCUUGUCUUACCUGGUCACCAGGCCGGCACCCUCCGUAAGCAUGUAUCGCUGGGCCGGUGGACAUUACUUCCUGGCCUCAUACUAGACAGCGCCAAACUGGAAAGAGGAUGUGGCCUGGAGUCAGAAGAUGUUGAAUUCCUACUCUGCCGAUUACCAGCUGUGUGAUCUUACGCAAGUCAUUUUACUUCUUUGUGUCAAAUUUCUAGUCUUCAAAAAUGAGCUAACGGCUAUAGGAAUGGCUGUUAUACCACGUGCCAACGAUGUCUAUGCCUAUAAACUAUGCGUGUUAUCUUCUCGAGACUUAAGUUGAGGAAACUGUGCUCUGAGAGAUGAACGGCAGCAGAAGGUCAGAUGCAUUUUUCCUUCUUUACAGACCAGCUCCUAUUGCCUGCCCCAAUCUGAAUGGAGGAAAGUGACAUUCCAGAUUCAGCCAUCCAAACAGAGAGAACCCUGCCUUCCUCGGAGCAGCGUACCUCCCCAGCAGACCUCCCAGGAGAGCAAGGCCAGGCAAGGAAGCAUGGAAGGAGCGUCCAAGACUGCAGGAACUAAGUGCUGGGAGGUUGAGGGAGACGUCAGAGAAGACAGAUGUUCUACCAAGCAUGGGAGCAGUCCAGAGUAGGGAACGCGGAGCUUUGUCCCUGUCUGGAAUAGGACAUCCAUCUUCUUCCUCAUCUCAAGGCCAAAGUUCUCCCACCACCAACUUUAGCUCCUGACCAAGCCCCCUCCCUCCCUUUUUAAACCCCUCCCCAGCCACGAAGGGAGUUUCUGGAGCCAAGACCCUACCAGCCACUCCUCCCCAGAGUUGUCAAGGAGGGAACUGGAAGCCGGAGGCUGUCCCCGGCAACUGCGCCCACUACCAAGAGCAAGACAGGUGUCUUCCUCCUGGGCGACACUGUCCCUGGAGGGUACACAUUCAGGCUGCCAAGGGUACCUGCCCUUGGGGAUGCAGCUCCUGAAGCGUUGCAGUUUCCUGCUUUUAGAGAGUAGAGGAUACUCUCCAGAGGAUCGAGGUGUGGUACAAGCUGCAGGGCAAGCCUCAUCAGCAUCUUUAAUGAAUGGAGGUGGCACACGUAGCCCAGCCACUGGAAAAUCCCUUGCCAAGUUGGAGGCAGACAUGUCAGCCCAGAGUCACGCUUUUGCCCAACAGCUGUGCCAAAAAUGAUUCCGGGCCGUGGAAACAUUCAGAGUAAAAAUAGUAUGUGGGGCAUGUUGAGAUGUUUCCAAGGAAAUC
Microcebus murinus (gray mouse lemur) is the source of this 1408-nucleotide non-coding RNA. The record is from RefSeq and is a predicted model, not a curated record. Lineage: Eukaryota; Metazoa; Chordata; Mammalia; Primates; Cheirogaleidae.